This is a non-coding RNA of Callithrix jacchus (white-tufted-ear marmoset), 69 nucleotides long. Lineage: Eukaryota; Metazoa; Chordata; Mammalia; Primates; Cebidae. The record is from the annotation of a RefSeq genome assembly.
GGUAUAGCUCAGUGGAAGAGCAUUUGACUGUGGAUCAGAAGGUCCCUGGUUCAAAUCCAGGUGAGGCCU